This 197-nucleotide small RNA is filed under the name Ornithinibacillus halophilus. RNAcentral's name for it is "Ornithinibacillus sp. G8B(2010) SR1 sRNA". It matches the Rfam family "SR1 sRNA". The record is from Rfam by way of RNAcentral. Lineage: Bacteria; Bacillati; Bacillota; Bacilli; Caryophanales; Bacillaceae.
UUAUAAUGAAAUUAAUCAUUAUAAUAAACAAAAGGGGAUGGACAAUGUGGGGACUAUUGUUUGCCAAGACUGCCAAGAAGUAAUUGAACAUUAUGAAGAGGAAAAAGUAACAACUCUUUACGGUACAUGUCCUAGUUGUAACUCAAAUAAUAGAUAAUAAACUAAGCCAUCACUAUUUUAAGUAGUGGUGGUUUUUU